Molecule: ribosomal RNA, 253 nt
Filed under: uncultured bacterium
Lineage: Bacteria
Description: partial 16S ribosomal RNA
Rfam family: Bacterial small subunit ribosomal RNA
Source: RNAcentral
UACGAACUGUGCAAACGUUAUUCGGAUUCACUGGGCUUAAAGGGUGCGUAGGCGGCUUGCCAAGUAGGGUGUGAAAGCCCCCGGCUUAACCGGGGAAUUGCGCCCUAAACUGGCGAGCUGGAGUGAGAUAGGGGUGUGUGGAACUUCCGGUGGAGCGGUGAAAUGUGUUGAUAUCGGAAGGAACGCCGGUGGCGAAAGCGACACACUGGGUCUCAACUGACGCUGAGGCGCGAAAGCCAGGGGAGCGAACGGG